This 433-nucleotide ribosomal RNA is filed under the name uncultured bacterium. RNAcentral describes it as "partial 16S ribosomal RNA". It matches the Rfam family "Bacterial small subunit ribosomal RNA", at positions 29 to 507 of the family's 1533-position model. The record is from RNAcentral.
AACGAACGCUGGCGGCAUGCCUAACACAUGCAAGUCGAACGAGACCUUCGGGACUAGUGGCGCACGGGUGCGUAAAGCGUGGGAAGCUGCACUUAGACGCGGAAAACCUCCCUGAAAGGGGGGCUCAUACCGGAGAAUGUACUCGGACCACAGAUUUAUCGCCUUGGGAUGGGUCCGCGUUGGAUUAGCAAGUUGGUAGGGUAAAAGCCUACCAAGGUGACGAUCCAUAGCUGGUCUGAGAGGAUGAUCAGCCACACUGGGACUGAGACACGGCCCAGACUCCUACGGAAGGCAGCAGUGGGGAAUAUUGGACGAUGGGCGAGAGCCUGAUCCAGCAAUGCCGCGUGAGUGAUGAAGGCCUUAGGGUUGUAAAGCGCUUGUACCCGGGAUGAUAAUGACAGUACCGGGAGAAUAAGCCCCGGCUAACUCCGUG